Molecule: ribosomal RNA, 2130 nt
Filed under: Triticum aestivum (bread wheat)
Lineage: Eukaryota; Viridiplantae; Streptophyta; Magnoliopsida; Poales; Poaceae
Description: partial small subunit ribosomal RNA
Source: RNAcentral
AUGGAGCGUGCACCACGUAAGAGGGGAUUUCCAACUGAUCCCAAGGAAUACAAGUUAUAUGAGGAAGUUGGAGAAGGAGUUAGUGCCACAGUUUACAGGGCUCUUUGUGUCCCGCUCAAUACUUUUGUUGCCAUCAAAGUUCUUGACCUUGAGAAGUGCAGUAGUGACCUGGAUGGAAUAAGGCGGGAAGUACAAACCAUGAGCUUGAUUGACCAUCCUAAUCUUCUUCGCGCAUGUUGUUCAUUUGCAAAUGACCAUCAACUUUGGGUUGUCAUGCCUUUCAUGGCUGCUGGAUCUGCCCUGCACAUUAUAAAAACUAAUUUUCCAGAUGGGUUUGAGGAAGCAGUCAUUGCCACACUUUUGUGGGAAGUUCUCAAAGCUCUCGUCUACCUACACUCUCAAGGGCAUAUUCACAGAGAUGUAAAGGCUGGAAAUAUCCUAAUAGAUACAAAUGGAGCUGUUAAGCUAGGAGACUUUGGAGUAUCUGCCUGCAUGUUUGACACUGGGAAUAGACAACGAGCUAGAAAUACAUUUGUUGGGACCCCUUGCUGGAUGGCUCCUGAAGUCAUGCAACAACUGCAUGGCUAUGAUUACAAAGCUGACAUCUGGUCCUUCGGGAUAACAGCAUUAGAACUAGCACAUGGUCACGCUCCAUUUUCGAAGUACCCUCCAAUGAAGGUGUUGCUUAUGACGUUGCAAAAUGCACCACCAGGUCUAGACUACGAGAGGGAUAAAAGAUUUUCGAAGUCUUUUAGGGACUUGGUUGCUGUAUGUUUAGUCAAGGAUCCACAGAAGCGUCCCUCUUCAGAAAAGCUGUUGAAACAUUCGUUUUUUAAGCAAGCGCGAUCAGCUGAUUUUUUGGCAAAGAGUAUUCUUGAGGGACUUACUCCACUGGGCGACCGCUUUAGGGCGUUGAAGGCAAAAGAGGCUGACUUACUUCUCAAUAACAAGCUUGGUCCAGAGAGCAAGGAGCAGUUAUCACAGAAAGAAUACAUAAGGGGCAUCAGUGGCUGGAAUUUUAAUCUGGAGGACUUGAAAACCGCAGCUGCCCUUCUAGACAGUUCAAAUGGCACAUACCAUUUUGAUGGUGCCAACAACAAAGAUAGGAAUGGGCUACAAGACGUUUAUAAUGAAUCAGAAAAUAUUUAUCAGGAAAGGGUUAACCAUGGUGCUUCUGCAAGGCAUGAUGAGCAUGAGAUACAAGAAGUAGAAGAUUUGGAUGGAGAUCUUGCCUCUUCCUUUCCAACCCGUCCCCUUGAGGCACUAAAGUCUUGCUUUGAUGUCGGCGGUGAUGAUGAUCCGGACCCUACUGCUACGAAUUUGCGGGUACAACCAAGCAUGGAGUCUAUAUCACCUGUGCAGCAGUUCUCAGAAAUGGACCAUAGUAGAAGUGACAACUGUAAUGGUGAAAAUCUGGAAAGAAGUGUCUCCGUACCCUCAAAUUUGGGAAAUAGUGUAUAUCCCAAGUUCUCAAGUGGUUCUCUUAUUCCCGAGCAUGUUCUUUCGCCUUACAAGAAUGUUGGUAGUGAUUCACGAAGGAAUGACUUUCAUCAGAAAAAUCCGAGCAGCAGAAACCGAAGUGGCCCUUUGUUUUUCCGUCAAAUGAAGGACAUACGCCCACAUCUGUCUGUUGCACCCGAUGAGGCGUCGGAAGGAAAUGUUGUCCAGCGAAGGGGGCGAUUUCAGGUCACAUCAGAUAAUCCUGGUCAAAAGGUAGCUUCAUCAGCAAGCAGCAACAGCAGGCCAAAUUUACCAAGUGGCGUAACACGGCCAGCUUCCAAUUCAUCCACAAUUCUUCCGACACUACAAUUCUUGAUGCAGCAAAAUUCUAUGCAAAAGGAAGUGCUAAGUAGAUUGAUUUCUUCAAUUGAGGAAACAUCUGAUGUUUCCGAUGCAAGUACAGUUGGUUUGUCUCAGUCAUCUGGAUCGCUUGCCAGAGAGAAGGGAUUGGAGUCGUAUGUCGUCCAACUACAGCGAAGUGUCACAGAACUCGCUGAGGAAGUGCAGAGAUUGAAGCUGAGAAAUAAUCAGGUAGUUGUAUCAAUUGUAAUUGUAAGUAUUUUAGCGAGUUCACAUUAUAGUAUAAUCUUUGAUUUGUACAGCAUGCUUUGUGUUAUCGGUGAGGAUUAG